GAUGAACGCUGGCGGCGUGCUUAACACAUGCAAGUCGAACGAGAAAUGGAGACGGACACCUUCGGGCGGAAGGCUUCAUUUCGAGUGGCGGACGGGUGAGUAACGCGUGGGUAACCUGCCUCAUACAGGGGGAUAACAGUUGGAAACGACUGUUAAUACCGCAUAAGACCACAGCACCGCAUGGUGCGGGGGUAAAAACUCCGGUGGUAUGAGAUGGACCCGCGUUCGAUUAGCCAGUUGGCGGGGUAACGGCCCACCAAAGCGACGAUCGAUAGCCGAUCUGAGAGGAUGACCGGCCACAUUGGGACUGAGACACGGCCCAAACUCCUACGGAAGGCAGCAGUGGGGAAUAUUGCACAAUGGGGGAAACCCUGAUGCAGCGAGGCCGCGUGAGUGAAGAAGUACUUCGGUAUGUAAAGCUCUAUCAGCAGGGAAGAAAAUGACGGUACCUGAGUAAGAAGCCCCGGCUAACUACGUG
This 478-nucleotide ribosomal RNA is filed under the name uncultured bacterium. Its description in RNAcentral is "partial 16S ribosomal RNA". It matches the Rfam family "Bacterial small subunit ribosomal RNA", at positions 28 to 507 of the family's 1533-position model. The record is from RNAcentral.